Molecule: ribosomal RNA, 450 nt
Filed under: uncultured Glomeromycotina
Lineage: Eukaryota; Fungi; Glomeromycota
Description: SSU rRNA
Rfam family: Eukaryotic small subunit ribosomal RNA
Source: RNAcentral
AGCAGCCGCGGUAAUUCCAGCUCCAAUAGCGUAUAUUAAAGUUGUUGCAGUUAAAAAGCUCGUAGUUGAAUUUCGGGGUUAGUACGCUGGUCGUGCCUUCGGUAUGUACUGGUGUUACUGAUUCCUACCUUCUGACGAACCGUCAUGUCAUUCAUUUGGUGUGGCGGGGAAUCAGGACUGUUACUUUGAAAAAAUUAGAGUGUUUAAAGCAGGCUCGCGCUUGAAUACAUUAGCAUGGAAUAAUGAAAUAGGACGUUCGAUCCUAUUUUGUUGGUUUCUAGGAUUGACGUAAUGAUUAAUAGGGAUAGUUGGGGGCAUUAGUAUUCAAUUGUCAGAGGUGAAAUUCUUGGAUUUAUCGAAGACUAACUACUGCGAAAGCAUUUGCCAAGGAUGUUUUCAUUAAUCAAGAACGAAAGUUAGGGGAUCGAAGACGAUCAGAUACCGUCGUAG